Molecule: ribosomal RNA, 892 nt
Filed under: uncultured bacterium
Lineage: Bacteria
Description: bacterial SSU rRNA
Rfam family: Bacterial small subunit ribosomal RNA
Source: RNAcentral
GCAGUCGAGGGGUAUAGUUCUUCGGAACUAGAGACCGGCGCACGGGUGCGUAACGCGUAUGCAAUCUACCUUUUACAGAGGGAUAGCCCAGAGAAAUUUGGAUUAAUACCUCAUAGUAUAUAGCCCUGGCAUCAGGAUUAUAUUAAAGUCACAACGGUAAAAGAUGAGCAUGCGUCCCAUUAGCUAGUUGGUAAGGUAACGGCUUACCAAGGCUACGAUGGGUAGGGGUCCUGAGAGGGAGAUCCCCCACACUGGUACUGAGACACGGACCAGACUCCUACGGGAGGCAGCAGUGAGGAAUAUUGGACAAUGGGCGCAAGCCUGAUCCAGCCAUGCCGCGUGCAGGAUGACGGUCCUAUGGAUUGUAAACUGCUUUUAUACGAGAAGAAACACUCCUUCGUGAAGGAGCUUGACGGUAUCGUAAGAAUAAGGAUCGGCUAACUCCGUGCCAGCAGCCGCGGUAAUACGGAGGAUCCAAGCGUUAUCCGGAAUCAUUGGGUUUAAAGGGUCCGUAGGCGGUUUAAUAAGUCAGUGGUGAAAGCCCAUCGCUCAACGGUGGAACGGCCAUUGAUACUGUUAGACUUGAAUUAUUAGGAAGUAACUAGAAUAUGUAGUGUAGCGGUGAAAUGCUUAGAGAUUACAUGGAAUACCAAUUGCGAAGGCAGGUUACUACUAAUUGAUUGACGCUGAUGGACGAAAGCGUGGGUAGCGAACAGGAUUAGAUACCCUGGUAGUCCACGCCGUANACGAUGGAUACUAGCUGUUGGAAGCAAUUUCAGUGGCUAAGCGAAAGUGAUAAGUAUCCCACCUGGGGAGUACGUUCGCAAGAAUGAAACUCAAAGGAAUUGACGGGGGCCCGCACAAGCGGUGGAGCAUGUGGUUUAAUUCGAUG